This 253-nucleotide ribosomal RNA is filed under the name uncultured bacterium. RNAcentral's name for it is "partial 16S ribosomal RNA". It matches the Rfam family "Bacterial small subunit ribosomal RNA", at positions 524 to 776 of the family's 1533-position model. The record is from RNAcentral.
UACGAAGGGGGCUAGCGUUGUUCGGAAUCACUGGGCGUAAAGCGCAUGCAGGCGGAUCGCUAAGUCGGGGGUGAAAUCCCGAGGCUCAACCUCGGAACUGCCUUCGAUACUGGCGAUCUUGAGUCCGGGAGAGGUGAGUGGAACUCCGAGUGUAGAGGUGAAAUGUGUUGAUAUUGGAAGGAACGCCGGUGGCGAAAGCGACACACUGGACCUUGUCUGACGCUGAGGCACGAAAGCCAGGGGAGCAAACGGG